This is a long non-coding RNA of Pogoniulus pusillus (Red-fronted tinkerbird), 696 nucleotides long. RefSeq lists it as uncharacterized. The record is from RefSeq and is a predicted model, not a curated record. NCBI's taxonomy places the organism in Eukaryota, Metazoa, Chordata, Aves, Piciformes, Lybiidae. The transcript has 3 exons.
UUCAAGACUGAAAGGAAGACAUCCAGAUGGACUCUAUGCAGGGCCACGUGGAACUUGCCUGUAGCUCUGGGGAAAGCUGAAAUGAGUGUGAUUCAAUAAAUUCUACAAAGCUGCAGAAUACUAUAGUCAUUCUAUAGCUGGAAUAUUUCCUCAGCCAGUUCUGGGGAAAGAUAAGGAGAAGCCUUUUGAAACAAAGUCAGCUGCUGCUCAUGAGUGACUGCUCAGAUCAGUGUUCCAAGUGGAAGAAAUGCGGUUUUCAGCAACUUUGGAAGUCCAAGUACAUGACUCUUCUUCAGCUCAGCAGGCCACAGCGUGCAAUACAGGCCAUGUCUGCUAACAAUGGCACCAUGCUAGCAAGGAGAAAGUGGAGAGGUGUCUCUGGAGGUGGCUGUGCCUGGACUUCACAGCCUGUGUAAGUCCUUUUCCUGACCUUCUGCCUUCCAGACUGAUACAGCCUCCAUUCAGUGCCCUACCAAGGCCCACUCUUCUGCUGUGUGGAGUGAUCAGCUCAUGAAGGCAAUGCAGCUCAUUCUCCCCACCCCAGUGAACUCUACCUCUGUCCUACACCAAAGCCCCCUUUCCACUGACACUGUGUGUAGGGGGAAACACUCUACUUCUCCUUGUCCUGAGAAAGGCUAGUGUGCAGCUUCUGAGAAAGCCCAGCUUCAGCUAUUCAGCAGUGUGAGAGGGCUUACA